UCGCCCGCCGGCUCUCCUGGGUCUGUCCCAAGCUCUUUCCUCCCAGCCUGCUGUUCAUUCCUGGCCCGGCUCCUCCCUCCUUCCUGCCCCCCUCCCCGCCUCCCUCCUUGCUUUCUACUGAGGUUCAGCGGGCCUGUAACAGCACGGGCCCUCGGGUGUGGGGCACAAUGCCCGGAUGCUUGCAUCUGCGGGAAACGGCGUGCCAGGCAGCCUGGCGGCUGUGGCUGGCAACACCGGGGAGAGAGGAAGACAGCCCUGGAGGGAGCGCGGGUCCUUUCCUGCCAUGAAAUCUCUGUGGCGCCUCGGAGCAUCUUUGGUGGGGAGCGAUGACCCUGUGCGGGCGCACAGUAAUCCUGACCUCCACAGGGAUGCGAACACAAAAACAUGAAACUUGUCUGUAUUGUCAGGGGCUACUUAUCCCCCGAGCACUCUAUCUUGUACAGAAUUUUGGCAACACAGGACCCGAAGACCCAAUGACCACAUCUUCCACUGUACUCAAAAUAUGGCAAGUUGAAGCAAGUGGUUCACCUAUCUUGAAACCACAGACACGUUCACGUCCUGCUGCUGUUGUUGCCGGUGAAUGGCGAGGCCGUCUCUGCUUGUCGCUUCUUCAAAAUCAUUGAUUAGACCUGUGAGGGCAUCUUCUUAUCUAACAUAUUAGCAAAGAAACACAUCACAGUUAAAAUAUAUUUGGUAAGUAUUUCAGUCUAGUUGGGUUUCUGGUGAUCGUCUACAUCUCCUGGAUGCACACGUACAUAUCCAUCAGAGGACGGCGUGGUCAUGGGCUUCCCAAGGCUCCCCGGCAUUAAAAGAGGCUAAGAAACUCUGCUUUAGAGGGAGGUUGAGAGGCGAAAUGCACGUUUACCAAAGGACCAGCAGCCUUCUGAGGGCAGAAGGAGAGAAAAGGAACUUCAAAGAACAAGUGUCAUGAGGACGGAGAGCGACCAACGCAGCGCACAGGGAGCGCAGCCUGACCCUGCGGCAAUACCCUAAAUUACCGUAUUUGGGGCAGCCAUUCCCUCGGGAUGGUUUUUGGGCCCCUGCUCCGAGCCUGCAGUGUCUGUGGACACAGAUGCCAUGACAGCCAACACCGCACACCGAGCCUGGCCUCUGUGACGCUGCAGAUGGACGUGGUCGCCCCCAUCCCCGAGCUCAGCCCCCACACUAGGGCCAUGCCCUCUGCCUCCCAUGGGCACAUACUUUCCUGUUGUGACCUUUAGGGGUGAUGUCACCCGCCGACAAGGUCAUGUUUGAGCAGCCUCAGUCCUAGAGUCCUGCGACUUCCAUUCCAGUGCUCUGUCCACGGGGCUCCGGGGGAUCUGGAGGCCCAGAUGCCUGGUCUCCCGCCCUCGUGCCCUUACAUCGGGACCCAAGGCACCUCAGGGACUCUCCUGUCCAACCAGUCCGUCUUCACUGCAUCAGAGGGGCUCCCCGCUGGGGCUGCAGUGGGGAUACCAGGACCUUCGAAUGUGGCCACUCCUGUCUCUCCAGACCCUGGUUUCUUCAUCUGCAUGGGGCAAAAAGAAUUGUAUUUCUACAAAAGGUUGUGUGAGGGUGACGGGAAGGGGUGCCUGUGGGAGGGACUGUAAUGUCCUGUUCAUGGUUCUCCCCAGCAUGGCCAGCACGAGAGCAGUGGAGUGCCCCUGGGAGGUCCAGGCGACCCAG
This is a long non-coding RNA of Mustela lutreola (European mink), 1665 nucleotides long. RefSeq lists it as uncharacterized. Lineage: Eukaryota; Metazoa; Chordata; Mammalia; Carnivora; Mustelidae. The transcript has 4 exons. The record is from RefSeq and is a predicted model, not a curated record.